AUACGUAGGGGGCGAGCGUUGUCCGGAAUGAUUGGGCGUAAGGGGCGCGUAGGCGGCCCGGUAAGUCUGGAGUGAAAGUCCUGUUUUUAAGAUGGGAAUUGCUUUGGAUACUGUCGGGCUUGAGUGCAGGAGAGGUAAGUGGACUUCCCAGUGCAGCGGUGAAAUGCGUAGAGAUUGGGAGGAACACCAGUGGCGCAGGCGACUUACUGGACUGUAACUGACGCUGAGGCGCGAAAGUGUGGGGAGCAAACAGGAUUAGAUACCCUGGUAGUCCACACUGUAAACGAUGAAUGCUAGGUGUAGGGGGUAUCGACCCCUUCUGUGCCGCAGUCAACACAAUAAGCAUUCCGCCUGGGGAGUACGGCCGCAAGGUUGAAACUCAAAUGAAUGGACGGGG
This 397-nucleotide ribosomal RNA is filed under the name uncultured bacterium. Its description in RNAcentral is "partial 16S ribosomal RNA". It matches the Rfam family "Bacterial small subunit ribosomal RNA", at positions 523 to 918 of the family's 1533-position model. The record is from RNAcentral.